This is a long non-coding RNA of Dendronephthya gigantea, 516 nucleotides long. RefSeq lists it as uncharacterized. The transcript is spliced from 4 exons. NCBI's taxonomy places the organism in Eukaryota, Metazoa, Cnidaria, Anthozoa, Malacalcyonacea, Nephtheidae. The record is from RefSeq and is a predicted model, not a curated record.
GGGUGCUUGUUAUGAGAAGACUUUGCAUACUUCGCAUGCAAAUUAAUUGAAACGGAAGACAGAUAUAUCUAAUCGCUCUUAGUAGCCCUAAAUAACAAGAAGCUUUGUCGUAUUAACAGCGGAGUAUUUAUCCAAAUUCGAAAAAGGAUUAAGCACGUCAAAGAAUUUAAUGAUAUUCUGGUAAUAUUCUGAUAUCCUGAAACAAUGAAAACGGAUGUUGAUAUAUUAUUGUGACGCACACAACAAAACAAGUACGGCACAAACUAAACCUAAUCGUUGAACUUAUCGGAUAUUUAAUGGAAAACUAUAUUUGGAACUUGCGUCACAUCUUUUUCUUUGUGGCAAUAAUUCAACUACCACUCGCUAUGACGCUUUAUGAAGAUCUCAGUGGUAGAUGCUUAGAUCACGUACAGUCAAAACAUUUUAAAACUCUGAUACCAAACAUAUCUUACAGAGCGACACCUUACCCAUAUGUGACAAAAGACACCAUUAUAACAUUGGAAUGUACCGGCUCUG